GCGAUCGUAGCUCAGUUGGUAGAGCAGCAGUCUUUUAAACUGCGGGCCAGGGUUUCGAUUACCCUCGGUCGCA
This 73-nucleotide transfer RNA is filed under the name Caudoviricetes sp. Its description in RNAcentral is "tRNA-Lys". It matches the Rfam family "tRNA". From Rfam's summary of the family: Transfer RNA (tRNA) molecules are approximately 80 nucleotides in length. Their secondary structure includes four short double-helical elements and three loops (D, anti-codon, and T loops). Lineage: Duplodnaviria; Heunggongvirae; Uroviricota; Caudoviricetes. The record is from RNAcentral.